UACGAAAGGUGCAAGCGUUACUCGGAAUCACUGGGCGUAAAGCGCGCGUAGGCGGACUCGUAGGUCAGUUGUGAAAUACCUGGGCUCAACCCAGGAACUGCAGCUGAAACCGCUUGUCUUGAAUACUUGAGAGGGUGGGGGAAUACCUGGUGGAGAAGUGAAAUUCGUAGAGAUCAGGUGGAACACCGGAGGCGAAGGCGCCUGCCUGGCAAUGUAU
Molecule: ribosomal RNA, 217 nt
Filed under: uncultured prokaryote
Description: partial 16S ribosomal RNA
Rfam family: Bacterial small subunit ribosomal RNA
Source: RNAcentral